RNAcentral lists this ribosomal RNA (517 nucleotides) under uncultured bacterium. RNAcentral describes it as "bacterial SSU rRNA". It matches the Rfam family "Bacterial small subunit ribosomal RNA", at positions 29 to 518 of the family's 1533-position model. The record is from RNAcentral.
ACGAACGCUGGCGGCGUGCCUAAUACAUGCAAGUCGAACGGCUUUUCUAUGGAAGCUUGCUUCCACUGAGAAGAUAGUGGCGAACGGGUGAGUAACACGUGGGUAACCUGCCCAUAAGAGGGGGAUAACAUCCGGAAACGGGUGCUAAUACCGCAUAGUUUUCUUGAUUGCAUGAUUGAGAAAGGAAAGACGGCCUUUGUGCUGUCGCUUAUGGAUGGACCCGCGGCGUAUUAGUUAGUUGGUGAGGUAACGGCUCACCAAGACGAUGAUACGUAGCCGACCUGAGAGGGUGAUCGGCCACAUUGGGACUGAGACACGGCCCAAACUCCUACGGGAGGCAGCAGUAGGGAAUCUUCCGCAAUGGACGAAAGUCUGACGGAGCAACGCCGCGUGAGUGAAGAAAAGGUUUUCGGAUCGUAAAACUCUGUUGUCAGAGAAGAACAAGUUGGAGAGUAACUGCUCCAGCCUUGACGGUAUCUGACCAGAAAGCCACGGCUAACUACGUGCCAGCAGCGGC